Molecule: ribosomal RNA, 870 nt
Filed under: Agaricus variicystis
Lineage: Eukaryota; Fungi; Basidiomycota; Agaricomycetes; Agaricales; Agaricaceae
Description: eukaryotic LSU rRNA
Rfam family: Eukaryotic large subunit ribosomal RNA
Source: RNAcentral
ACUAACAAGGAUUCCCCUAGUAACUGCGAGUGAAGCGGGAAAAGCUCAAAUUUAAAAUCUGGCGGUCUCUGGCCGUCCGAGUUGUAAUCUAGAGAAGUAAUGCCCGUGCUGGACCGUGUAUAAGUCUCCUGGGAUGGGGCGUCAUAGAGGGUGAGAAUCCCGUCUUUGACACGGACUACCAGUGCAUUGUGGUAUGCUCUCAAAGAGUCGAGUUGUUUGGGAAUGCAGCUCAAAAUGGGUGGUAAAUUCCAUCUAAAGCUAAAUAUUGGCGAGAGACCGAUAGCGAACAAGUACCGUGAGGGAAAGAUGAAAAGAACUUUGGAAAGAGAGUUAAACAGUACGUGAAAUUGCUGAAAGGGAAACGCUUGAAGUCAGUCGCGUUGGCCGGGAAUCAGCCUUGCUUUUGCAUGGUGUACUUUCUGGUUGACGGGUCAGCAUCAAUUUUGACCGCUGGAAAAGGUCCUGGGGAAUGUGGCAGCUCCGGCUGUGUUAUAGCCCCUAGUCAUAUACAGCGGUUGGGAUUGAGGAACUCAGCACGCCGCAAGGCCGGGUUUCGACCACGUUCGUGCUUAGGAUGCUGGCAUAAUGGCUUUAAGCGACCCGUCUUGAAACACGGACCAAGGAGUCUAACAUGCCUGCGAGUAUUUGGGUGGAAAACCCGAGUGCGUAAUGAAAGUGAAAGUUGAGAUCCCUGUCGUGGGGAGCAUCGACGCCCGGACCAGAACUUUUGGGACGGAUCCGCGGUGGAGCAUGUAUGUUGGGACCCGAAAGAUGGUGAACUAUGCCUGAAUAGGGUGAAGCCAGAGGAAACUCUGGUGGAGGCUCGUAGCGAUUCUGACGUGCAAAUCGAUCGUCAAAUUUGGGUAUAGG